This 304-nucleotide unclassified non-coding RNA is filed under the name uncultured fungus. RNAcentral describes it as "sequence contains ITS1, 5.8S rRNA gene". The stretch from base 256 to 304 matches the Rfam family "5.8S ribosomal RNA", at positions 1 to 49 of the family's 154-position model. Lineage: Eukaryota; Fungi. The record is from RNAcentral.
UUUCCGUAGGUAAGUUAUCACAAAACCACGCCCGCCUUGUGCCUCUUGAACCACUUGCUAACAUCCAUCUUCUAGGUGAACCUGCGGAAGGAUCAUUACCGUGUUCUACGCCGGGGGCCCGCCCCUCGGCUUGCACCUCCCUUUGCGUAUCCAUUCUGGUUGCUUCGGCGGAGCGACGCCUCGCGUGUCGCCGCCGGAAGACCUUCAAACUCUGGUUUUUGCAGUGUCGUCUGAGCCACUAUGAAAAUGAAAUAAAACUUUCAACGAUGGAUCUCUUGGUUCCAGCAUAGAUGAAGAACGCAGC